GUCGUAUCCACGAUAUUCAAGCCGUUUUAAGCCUUUCAGUAGCAACGGAGCUGCAUUUUGCCAUCCAAUAUAU
RNAcentral lists this transfer RNA (73 nucleotides) under Chlorobium chlorochromatii CaD3. RNAcentral describes it as "tRNA-Ala". The record is from RNAcentral. Lineage: Bacteria; Pseudomonadati; Chlorobiota; Chlorobiia; Chlorobiales; Chlorobiaceae.